Cyclopterus lumpus (lumpfish) is the source of this 2825-nucleotide RNA transcript. RefSeq lists it as uncharacterized. NCBI's taxonomy places the organism in Eukaryota, Metazoa, Chordata, Actinopteri, Perciformes, Cyclopteridae. The transcript is spliced from 6 exons. The record is from RefSeq and is a predicted model, not a curated record.
UUUUUUUUUCUUUCUCUAAAUCUUCCUCAAUUAUGUUUUCAUUCAAAUAGGAAACGUAUUCCUGAUGUAAAAAUGUACCACGCAUCCCCUCCAGGUGUUGAGUCUCUCACAGAUUAAAAGAGAUUUCUCCUGACGUCAGAGAAAAAACUAUUUUAUCUAAAGAUCAGUUGUUCCUGUUAUUUUGUCCACUGGUCUGGAAGUACAGUGUAAUAUUUAUGGAAGAUUCAGAGGGAGAAUCUGAUCUGGAUUUUUGACACUGGACAAAACCUUUUUAAAACAGCCCUGUAAAAACAAAUAUAAAGUACAUCAAAAAUACAACUCACCAUUAAGCUGAAUUAUCGCCACAUUAUGCAAUAUGAGAAUCACCUGUAGUGGUUUAUAUCCACACACAUUAACAACCUGAAACUCAAACAGCCAAAAUUAAUUUUAUCAUUUACUUUUGAUCACUUGAUCAUUUAUUUAUGAUCAUUUACUGCAUGCAAAAAUGUCUUCUGUGAUUUAUUUAUUAAGAGCUGAAGUUUUCACACCUAUACUACAAUAUGUGUUGUUUUAUAUCACAAUGGUUGAGCAUUGCAUGUGUGCUUCUUAUAUUCUGUUUAUGCCAUGAACUGUUAUUACUAAUGCAAUUUUUAUCAGAGUUUAUUUUCAGGAAGGAGUGAGUUUCAAUUCUCAAUAAUCCAACUGUGUGAUUCCCGUGUGACUUAAUGUUUCUUUGCUCUUUACUUAAAACACAUAGCAAAGUUCUGAGAAGCCAAAGCAACUAACUAACCAGGAACUAACCACUUCCUUUCCUCCGAGCCUCCUCAUGCUCGCCAGGGGCCAUGUUGAAGUUUCACUCUGUCUUUCUCUGUCUGAUGGGCAUCAUGUUCAACCGAGACCACGCUGCUCUUCUCUCCAUUCAACUGCUAACUGUGUGCCAAGUCUUUGCAGUGUCAGAGAUUGAAGACAGGAAUGAACUGGUGUCCAGAGGAGACUCCGUCGUCUUCACCUGCAACAUAUCUGAUACAAAUGAAACGCAACUCACAUGGACCAAAGACAGAUUUGUUUAUGCGUUUUCGUUCCCAAAGAAUUUGUCUAUUUCAAAUUUCACAUCUCGCAGACUGAGAAUAGACAACAACUUACCUUCAAGGAUGAUUAUUUCUAACGUUCAGCAUGACGAUGCAGGAACCUACAGAUGUUGUUUAAUUGCCGUGAACAGUACAAGGAAUAUUGAGUGGGAUUUAAAGGUGUCUGGAGAACCUGAAGAAGCCAGUCCAUUGAGGUACCCUCUCUACAUACUCACAGCCGUAAUUGGAUUUCUUCUAUGUGUAGUCACAGCUGUCUGCCUCUGUAGCUACAGAUUACAUCUCAACAACUGUCGGUCGGUGCGGUGGAUUGACGACAAGAAAGGGCAAGAGGGCAGACAGCUGUGGCUUCUUAGCACCACGUGCUGCAGAAGAGAAGGAGACGGAAAGAGGCCGAAGCAUGAAGACAGGGGGCGACAAACUCACAGAGGAAAAGAGAUCAGGAAAUUAGAGAAAGAAAAGGACGAGAGGGAGCAGAGCUACAUGUGAGGGAUGAGGAGUAGAGGGAGAGAGAUGAGACGAAAUCAGAGAGUGGAACAGAAAACGAAACAUGAUGGAAAGAGCUCGACUACGAUCCCAAACCAGCACCAGGAAAGCGAGACCCUGAGUUAUGCCCAGUUUCAUGUUCAGUCGGGAAAAGAGGUGGCUCCCCUCCAACCCCACAGUUGUGCAGAAUACAGGACGAAUCACAAGCACGUGGGUACUUCCAGAGGCUCAGUUCAAUAUGUGGCCUCAUGAGCAUGAAGUUCAGUGCAACGCCGAAUAGGAAACAAGACAAAACGUCAACUGCAUAAAAAAGAAAAUUACUACAGUGUUAUACUGAGGUUAUUAGUCGAAAUUCCUUCAGUCCAUCCCAUGAGAAGCUUUUCACUAACCUGGUCAUUUGAUGAGUAAUGUUUAUGUCAAAUAAAAAGAACAUGAGGAAAAGGCCUUUUAAUGGCUAACUGCCACAAAUGAUUAAACCUUGUGAAAAAAGAAGAAAUGCAAAACUAGAAAUGAAGCAAAAAAAAAAGGAUACAUCCAUCAAGCAAUGGAAGGCAGAGACGAGCUGCCCCUCAAGAACACGCCUUCCUCUCUUAGACAAUGUGUCGUUUCACAUAAUCUGAACAAUAAAGAACUGUUGCUCCUUGUUGUUAGGCAGCAAUAUUUCCUUGUAAGGGGAGAGCGGGUCGGUAUGGAGGGCAGUUGGGUCAGGGCCUGUUUGGACAUCUGCAGUGGGCUUUUACAUGUUUGGCUCUGUUUUAUUUUUUUUCUCAAAGAAAUCUGUGAACUGGUGACAUUGUAAAUACAAGGUGUUCAAAUUUAGACGGCGACAUUUUCAAUUAAAAUGAUCUUUUUGUACCCAGAACAUGGUGUCACAACUGUACCCGGAGGGGCAGAACUAUGGAUAAAUGCACUUGUUGUACAUCGAACUAAAUUGUGCCUUUUACUUUUGGGUUUGGGCUCCAAAGAUCUCGAUGAAUCCGUUAGCAGACGCCUGAAUCUUAUCAGUGAACACAUUAUUUUCAUUAUUUAAGGUAAUUUGAUGUGUCAACCGAGCCCUUUCUCAUCUACUUCCCUGUUUCUAUGGUCUAGCCAUGUCACUGGCGUCAGGGAAGUUGCGGUAUGUGAAUAAAUCGAGAGUACAAUCUAAGGAAGUUGACUCUUCACUAUAGCUAGAGGGAUGCGUCACUUUUUGACUUUUAUUAAUAAUGGACAAAAGCCUUUUGCCUAUGAUUUAUUAAGAAAUGUGUCAUUUGAUUGCAUAAAUUGUCCGUCACA